AUAAGAGUAUUCGUUUCAGUAAAACAUCCAAAGUGUCGCCUCGCCAAAUUACGUACAUUUUCAUUUAUUUCCAAAAAAUCAAUGAAAUAGAAGGAAAUAAUGGCUAAGAAUGUUCGAAUUAAAUGAUUGCCCCAAUAAUUUCUACCUGACGUGGAAUCUGCGGAAUAUUGGUACUACCUACUCUGCGCACGACUAGUAAAUCGCAACUAAGAGAAAAUGUUGUUUCUCCAACGAUGAGUUAGAAGCAAAUGAACAGACGAAUAAACGAUUUGGAGGCCAUGAUUUUAAUUCACCCAGAAAAGCCUUAGAUACCCGAAAAUGUCUAAUUCACACACACUCAUGGGAUUAUAAUACUUAUAAUGUUUUUUCAAAACUGAAAUAUAUGAUGUACCACAUACACGGAACUGCGAAGUGGAGCAAAUGCAUUGACAAAUUUUCAGACGUUGACUUUCUUGGAGAUAAUUCUACCGACUCAUAUGAAGCCAUACAAUAUUGGAGAGAAUUAUGAAACUUAAAGGUAAUACAAUUUUGCUGAGCAAGAAUCCAAUUUUAAUAACGCGGCGGGCUUCAACAUAUUUAUAUUGCAAAGAAACACAUAACUAGUUUGGACAUUGGUAUCUUUUCUGAAGGGAAAGUGCAUCUAGUUGGAUGCGUUAAACAGGUUGUCAAACCCGUUCCCAUUUGCUACGAGGAGAGACAAACUUCUUUGAAAAAACAUUAUGCAAUUACCAAAAAGCUUCAGUGGCUGUUAUUAAAAUUCUUCAACUAUCGACAUUGCACAUAAUUGAUGCAACUUUUCAACUAGGUAUAUUCUGAUAGGUACCUAUUUCCUUUAAUUUGUGUACUUAUUUUACCUAUUUUUCCCCCCACCACCCAUCAGAAAGUGAUUAUUUAGUUUAUUUAACCAAA
This 909-nucleotide long non-coding RNA is filed under the name Acyrthosiphon pisum (pea aphid). RNAcentral describes it as "uncharacterized LOC100570387, transcript variant X2". The record is from RNAcentral. Lineage: Eukaryota; Metazoa; Arthropoda; Insecta; Hemiptera; Aphididae.